GUAGGGAAUCUUCCACAAUGGACGAAAGUCUGAUGGAGCAACGCCGCGUGAGUGAAGAAGGAUUUCGGUUCGUAAAACUCUGUUGCAAGGGAAGAACAAGUAGCGUAGUAACUGGCGCUACCUUGACGGUACCUUGUUAGAAAGCCACGGCUAACUACGUGCCAGCAGCCGCGGUAAUACGUAGGUGGCAAGCGUUGUCCGGAAUUAUUGGGCGUAAAGCGCGCGCAGGUGGUUCCUUAAGUCUGAUGUGAAAGCCCCCGGCUCAACCGGGGAGGGUCAUUGGAAACUGGGGAACUUGAGUGCAGAAGAGGAUAGUGGAAUUCCAAGUGUAGCGGUGAAAUGCGUAGAGAUUUGGAGGAACACCAGUGGCGAAGGCGACUGUCUGGUCUGUAACUGACACUGAGGCGCGAAAGCGUGGGGAGCAAACAGGAUUAGAUACCCUGGUAGUCC
Molecule: ribosomal RNA, 450 nt
Filed under: uncultured bacterium
Lineage: Bacteria
Description: bacterial SSU rRNA
Rfam family: Bacterial small subunit ribosomal RNA
Source: RNAcentral